GAAGUCAUUGAGUGAGGAGGUAAAUAUGUUUUAGAUUUGAACUCUACACUUCUCUACUCUGGGUUCGAAUUUUGAAAUUCUCGAGCAAUUUUGUAAGUUAUGCAUACUUCUAGUUCUUUUCUUUGGAGAACGGGGUGUUGCAGUUGAUUGAUUCUUGUAGUCCGACUUAAUUCAAUUGCUUCUUGCACUGUAGUUAUUGAAUUCGCGGGGGGAUUCUGAGUUCUUGAUUGCUCCGGGUCCGAAUUGUUAUGACAGUUUUCUUAGGUGGUAAGCUUUGCUUAAUUGAAUAUUAAGCAUGGUGGAUGCUCACAAUGAAAUCAUGUCUUGUAUUCCUGUUAGGGAUGUCAAUGCAGCCCGAAACCCGUGGGCCGGCCCGAAUAACCCGACAAAAUUAAAGGGUUAGGGUUGAAAAAUCGCAACCCGAAAAAACCUCCAGCCCGAUUAGCCCGCACCCGAAUAACCCGGAACCCGAUAGAGCUAGCCCGAAAACCCGAUGGGCUGGCCCGGUGGGCUGACGGAAUUGUGACUAAUGCAUCCAGUUACAACUUCUGCUAUGUUUAGAUCUAUGGUAUUUGCUUAAAUAUAUAUAUGUAGCCUCAUUAAAAAUAGUGAAAUUAAUUAGUUAGAAUAUAUAUGUGUGUGUGUGCGCAAUCUCAUUAAAAAAAGUGAAAUUAAUUACGGAUUUUUGUAGAAAUUGAUUAUUAGUAUCUCAUUAGUUAGAAAUUAAUUAUUAGUAUCUCAUUUUAAAGUGAUACCAAUUUUUUUUUAUGUCAAUGAGACGUGCAUGAAAAAUCCACUAAUUAUUCAGUAAUAAUCCAGAUUGAUUCUAGUGCAUUGAUACAUGUUAAAUUUUACUAUCUCAUUUUAAUAUAAUUAUGUUUAUGUAAUCUUGAAUAUCUUAUAUUUUUGCAUUUCAUGCUUUGCUAUAUAAUUUAUAUCUUUAAUAUCUAUGUAUAUUUAAUACAUUAUACAUUAGAUCAUUAGGAAUAAUAAAAUACAAAUGAUAAUUUUAUUUUUACGCCUUUAACCUGAUUAGCCCGAUGGGCUAGCCCGAAACCCGAAAGUUUAGGGUUAGGGUUGAAGAUUUACAACCCGAAAAAUCUCCAACCCGAUUAGCCCGCACCCGACUAACCCGGAACCCGAUAGGGCUAGCCCGAAAACCCGGUUGGCUGGCCCGAUUGACAUCCCUAAUUCCUGUGCUCUAAGACAUAAAUUUGAAACUAAUUAUUAAUAUACUGAAAAGUAAAUGCCUUAUUAAUAUACUUUUAGGUCUUCUGCUAUUAUCAUUAUUAUGCCCCAUUUUCCUUUUCACUCCCCAAUAUAGCAAUGCUAUGUAUCUAUUGCAGGUUGUCUUUGUGGAGUUGUGCUGUAGUCGUGUUGAGAUUCUCGCGCUUUCAAAACAUCGAGGUUGGCCUGUAUCUGUAUUUUUUUUCUCUCUGUAGAAUUAAUUUAGUUUAGUGUUCUUGAUUAGUCAGAAAUAUAUCAUGAAAUGAUAACUUUAGAACCACGUAGUCUGCUUUUGCUUGGUUUCUUGAAGAUGUACAUGUAUAGGACCCAAGCUUUAUCUGAAGGUGAAAGAAGUCAGAGACCCUUUACUCUCUAAUGAAUUUAAUGAUUGAUUUGAGAAGAUCAUUAUCACAAUGAAUUCUUGUAAACUUUGUUUCACGUCCUAUAAGCCAGGUGAUACUGAAAUUGAUACUCCGUGAGAUCGAAAGCUAGACUUGAAUAGAAAGCAUCUUGUUUUCUUGUUGCUCAAUGGACUUUGAGAAUUAACCUAACCACAAGAGGUCAUAUUUCACUUUCAGAACAUCAAAUAAUGAUCUCGACUUGUUAUGAUUUUUACCUUGGACCAAAAAUCAUAUGUUUGUUCUUGCAUCAAUUUUGGGUACUUUUAGUGCUUAGUAAUAUUUCCUAAAAAAUGUGAAAUGGAGAAGUUUUUAGUGCUUAGUAACUUGAUAGGUUUUGUCCAUUUUACCAAUCACUUUGAUAUGCAUUUUAAGUGUUUAUCAUGAUGCUUUACAUUGUGAUUCUUGGUUGGCUCUUUGUAUGAUUUUGUGGCAGGUUUGUGGUGGAUUAAAUGAGUCGUACGUUGAGCUGAAGAGGCUUGUGAAUUCACAAGAAAAGUUGUACCAGAUGGCUAGCUAGUUGCAUAUUUAAUAUGUUUAGUUUUUUUGUAAGGCAUAAUAGCAUAGAUAGAGCAGUUGUUGAAUUUUGACUAUAUUCAAAUCUUGUAUGAAUUCUUUUUUAUGAUAAUAAUAUAAAAUUAAAUAUUUUGGAUGAUAU
Molecule: long non-coding RNA, 2283 nt
Filed under: Salvia miltiorrhiza (redroot sage)
Lineage: Eukaryota; Viridiplantae; Streptophyta; Magnoliopsida; Lamiales; Lamiaceae
Description: long non-coding RNA (SMIL_LNC008834)
Source: RNAcentral